UACAGAGGUCUCAAGCGUUGUUCGGAUUCAUUGGGCGUAAAGGGUGCGUAGGCGGCCACCGCAAGUCGAUUGUGAAAUCUCCGGGCUUAACCCGGAAAGGUCAACCGAUACUGCGGGGCUAGAGUGCAGAAGGGGCAACUGGAAUUCUCGGUGUAGCGGUGAAAUGCGUAGAUAUCGAGAGGAACACCUGCGGCGAAGGCGGGUUGCUGGGCUGACACUGACGCUGAAGUGCGAAAGCUAGGGGAGCGAACGGG
This 254-nucleotide ribosomal RNA is filed under the name uncultured bacterium. Its description in RNAcentral is "partial 16S ribosomal RNA". It matches the Rfam family "Bacterial small subunit ribosomal RNA", at positions 524 to 776 of the family's 1533-position model. The record is from RNAcentral.